GAUGAACGCUGGCGGCGUGCCUAAUACAUGCAAGUCGAGCGAACGGACGAGAAGCUUGCUUCUCUGAUGUUAGCGGCGGACGGGUGAGUAACACGUGGAUAACCCACCUAUAAGACUGGGAUAACUUCGGGAAACCGUAGCUAAUACCGGAUAAUAUCUUGAACCGCAUGGUUCAAAAGUGAAAGACGGUCUUGCUGGCACGUAUAGAUGGAUCCGCGCUGCAUUAGCUAGUUGGGAAGGUAACGGCUUACCAAGGCAACGAUGCAUAGCCGACCUGAGAGGGUGAUCGGCCACACUGGAACUGAGACACGGUCCAGACUCCUACGGGAGGCAGCAGUAGGGAAUCUUCCGCAAUGGGCGAAAGCCUGACGGAGCAACGCCGCGUGAGUGAUGAAGGUCUUCGGAUCGUAAAACUCUGUUACUAGGGAAGAACAUAUGUGUAAGUAACUGUGCACAUCUUGACGGUACCUAAUCAGAAAGCCACGGCUAACUACGUG
RNAcentral lists this ribosomal RNA (497 nucleotides) under uncultured bacterium. RNAcentral's name for it is "partial 16S ribosomal RNA". It matches the Rfam family "Bacterial small subunit ribosomal RNA", at positions 28 to 507 of the family's 1533-position model. The record is from RNAcentral.